Molecule: long non-coding RNA, 1308 nt
Filed under: Macaca mulatta (Rhesus monkey)
Lineage: Eukaryota; Metazoa; Chordata; Mammalia; Primates; Cercopithecidae
Description: lncRNA (ENSMMUG00000054621.1)
Source: RNAcentral
CACAGCGUCUGGGACUCAUCAGCUCCCUGAAAUCCAGCACAAGCCUCAUUCUUCCCUUCCUCUGUCCAGCUGUGGUCCAGAAAGGAAAUAACCCUGGCGCCUGCCCCAGACCAGCCCUAGCCUCUGGGCUCCCCCACACUUGUCUCCUACUACAUCUCCAGCUACACUGGCCCAGACAACAUCUAAGCCGCACCCCAGAGGAAAACAGGGAACAGCUGAGGCGUGACCCCUCACCUCACUGGAUGCACAGCCCCUGCAGAGGCAUGCAUGGAUUGGAGGGCUUUUUUGCCACCCAGAGGGUAGAGGGAACCUGUCCCUUCUCCGGCCACAUUCUUCACCCCUCCCUGGGGUCUGCAGGUCUUCCCUGGCUCCUGGCCCUGCUCUGGCGUCUCCAUCACUUCCACUGCCCUACCCCCUGUAAAAAGAUGUUAAGACUGUAAAGUUUCAAGCAUCUGAGAAUACUGAUCUUAUGAUUCUGAAGCUUCAAACUAGACCUGGAAAGAAAAGGUGACUUUAGAACAGCCGGCUGUUUAGAAACAGAAGUUUCUCCCUUUGCCCUUCUGCGGGCACUGCACUUCACAGUUCACAGCUAACCACAGCUUACAUUCCCACAGGGAGCCCAUUCUAAGCACUUUAAGUAAAUGAACUCAAAUCUCACCUCAUCUACACUCCAAGGUAGGUACCACCAUUAUUGCCAUUUCACAGAUCAGGAAAUGCAGGCCCAUAGGGGUUAAGUGACUUCUCCAGGGGAGAUGGUAGAACUAGGAUUCCAGCCCAGGGCAUCUGAAGCCCUGCACCCCUAACCACCAUACACACUUCUGGGAACAUUUGUAAAGUGCACCCAUAUUUCUUAGCCUCACUGUAUUCUGCGGGGAGAGGAGAGGCAGGGCAGGGGCUGUGGCCCCAGUGCCCUUCUACCUCCCUCUGCCCUUUACUGUCUGUAAUCUUUGACCUCUGUGAUCCCCGGAGGGAGAAGAAGAAGAAUGCAAUUCCCAUCCCUCCUCUUCCCCCUCCAGCUCUGCCGGUUGGGCCUGACUCCCCAAACUCUGAGGGAAAGGCUGCAGGUGGUCACCCCCAAGUCUGAACUCUCCAGCCUCCCAGGGCACCCCCAGGUGUCACUACAGGGCCCCAGUGGGUGGUAGACAUCCCAGGGGCCUCUGGCAUCAGUGUCCCUGACCAGAGUGGAUUUAAGAGCAGGGCUGUUAUUUGCUUUGCAGCUGCUGCCAUAAACCCUGGACGCCCCUGGGGAGAGGGAGCAGCUGCCGGGAAACCUCCCGGGCCCUGGAGCCAUCACCAAAUCCCUGCUGC